UACGGAAGGCAGCAGUGGGGAAUAUUGCACAAUGGGCGCAAGCCUGAUGCAGCCAUGCCGCGUGUAUGAAAAGGCCUUCGGGUUGUAAAGUACUUUCAGUCGUGAGGAAGGUGUUAAGGUUAAUAACCUUAGCAAUUGACGUUAGCGACAGAAGAAGCACCGGCUAACUCCGUGCCAGCAGCCGCGGUAAUACGGAGGGUGCGAGCGUUAAUCGGAAUUACUGGGCGUAAAGGGCACGCAGGCGGUUAAUUAAGUUGGAUGUGAAAUCCCCGGGCUUAACCUGGGAAUGGCAUUCAAGACUGGUUUAGCUAGAGUCUUGUAGAGGGGGUAGAAUUCCAUGUGUAGCGGUGAAAUGCGUAGAGAUGUGGAGGAAUACCGGUGGGCGAAGGCGGGCCCCUGGGACAAAGACUGACGCUCAUGUGCGAAAGCGUGGGGAGCAAACAGGGAUUAGAUACC
RNAcentral lists this ribosomal RNA (456 nucleotides) under uncultured bacterium. RNAcentral describes it as "bacterial SSU rRNA". It matches the Rfam family "Bacterial small subunit ribosomal RNA", at positions 340 to 786 of the family's 1533-position model. The record is from RNAcentral.